Molecule: small nuclear RNA, 105 nt
Organism: Sorex fumeus (smoky shrew)
Lineage: Eukaryota; Metazoa; Chordata; Mammalia; Eulipotyphla; Soricidae
Source: RefSeq, a predicted model, not a curated record
GCACUUGCUUUGCAGCACAUAUAUUAAAAUUGAAACCAUAUGGAGAAGAUUAGCAAGGUCUCUGUGUGAGAUGACAUGCAAAUUUGUGAAGCAUUCUGUAUUUAA